GGGGUCUUCCAGGAAAUCACCAACUAGGCCAAAUAAUAACAAAUUCCAUGUUAAUGGAGUUUUGAAUGAGUUCCAAUUCCAUUCUGCUCCCUCCCAUGGUUGCCAGGCGACUGGUUUUCUCCGUGAUUGCAGGCUAUUGGUUUUCAAGGCUACUGUAGUGCUGGAGAGGGAAUGUCCUCCCUCCUAAUUACCAUGGAGUGGGUUCCUUCUGCUCCCAGCUCAAUGUCAUCUCUACAGAAAGCCCUUUGCUAACCAUCCCCUGAAACAGACUCAAAAGGAUUAAGUCACCCACCUGUGGACACACGGGGUGAAGAAACAAUUUGAAUGUCCAAUGAGACAGUGGAAACUGAAUAAACAUACUGCCUAAUAACAAGUGAUGGAGGCAAAAGCGGCCUUGUUCAGCUUCUGUUUCACUUGGUAAUGACUAACGAGUAUGCUCCAUUCGUCGCUAAAGGCUUGGCUUGGUUAAUUUAAUAUCUCCCUCUAAUGAGCCUAAUAAAAAACUAGUAGGAAUAUUAUACUACAAACAUCAGGCUCUUGCCACAUCUGGCUUCUCCCAGAAGAAGAGAAUGAUAACCUCCAUCUGAAACUAUGAUUUGUGAAAUUGAAAUAGCCUCCAUUUGUUCAGCAUGUUCCCAUCUCUCUUUCUCCUGGAAGUCCAUGUUCCUUGAAAAUUGAGGUCAAUGAAUGAAUGUCAAGACAACUGCUAUAGUUAUUUUAACCUCUGCAGGAUGAGGAAGCCUUGAAGUAUUAGACUAAGGUUAUUUUGCAGACGUCGGUAACCAAUUUCCUUUUAGGCAUGAAAUCAGAGCAAAUAAAGCCAAAUUCUAGACACAAAACACUUCUGGGAUGUGUAGAUUAUCAAAAAAUAAA
This 873-nucleotide long non-coding RNA is filed under the name Equus caballus (horse). Its description in RNAcentral is "lncRNA (ENSECAG00000050995.1)". Lineage: Eukaryota; Metazoa; Chordata; Mammalia; Perissodactyla; Equidae. The record is from RNAcentral.